UGUUACAGUUCUCAGCUCUCUAUCCCAGACUCAACUGCAAAGAAUUAAUUGGAAGCUAAUUUUAUUACUUCAUGGAUCUUGCUGUGCAGCCAAAAACAUUUAGAAACCUGAAACUCUCUCCCUAUGAAAUGUGAAGAAGCUGCAUGAAGCAAUUUGGUCUAAUUAAAAAAUAUCUCCAACAUUUAUUUUCUUCAUCGUCACCAACAAAAUCCCACUCUGCAGAAGCAAAUACUUUUUCUUGAUUAACAGAGAUAAAGGAAUCUGCAGAUAUUUUAGCUGAAUCUCUCAUUCUGUACGGUUGACCAGCCAGAAGGCUGAACAGAUUGAUUCUCAUAUAUUGGGACAAACAGUUUGCAGUGUAAUAGUAACAGAGACAAAAUAUGAAGGUCCAUGUUCAAAAACAUAAUAUAGAUAGGAAGCACCUACAGGACCGGUCACUCUGGCCUGACCACAGUGGCUUAAGCAAACUGAGGAAAAACAAAACAAACUGCUUGCCCUGAAUAAUGCAGCAUUUGUGCAGUCCCAGUUACAUUUUGAAGAUCACACCUCAUUGUGGUAGGCUGAGCUGCAGAAAGGAGCUAUUCUACUUCCUCUUGAGGCAUAAAUCACGUAACACUCAUAGUGCCCCUGGAGACUUGCUAAGGUCCCCAGUAGCUGAGGUUAUCUUCCGCAUCCUCGCUUGGGAGUGUUAGCCACUUCCACUGAUGCCCCAGCCCCCAGCCAGGACAUGGAGAAGGUAAGUCAGAACAGCACACCGAGGAUGUGACAUUCUCUAACGGGCGGCGGCUGCAGUGCGCAUCUGCAGGGACUUGGGACCUUUCUGAGCAUUGGGGAUGUCAUCCAGACAUUUGAGUUGGAGCUAAAUCUCUGGAGAAGAGCCUGAUGGGUGGCUUUAGAACCCAUUAGCUCCAAGUCUUUGGGUCUGCAGGCCAGGGCCAUGAGGGAUUGGGGCCAUUGUUCCUGUUUCAUACUUGGGCUUCAAGCUUUUGCUGUACAGAGCAGAGGACUCUCCUCCUGCCUGUUGCUGAUGUUGUAGAUGCAACCACCUCUGGCCAGUUCCUACAGCACA
Molecule: non-coding RNA, 1069 nt
Organism: Chelonoidis abingdonii (Abingdon island giant tortoise)
Lineage: Eukaryota; Metazoa; Chordata; Testudines; Testudinidae
Source: RefSeq, a predicted model, not a curated record